This 32-nucleotide ribosomal RNA is filed under the name Deschampsia antarctica (Antarctic hairgrass). The record is from RNAcentral. Lineage: Eukaryota; Viridiplantae; Streptophyta; Magnoliopsida; Poales; Poaceae.
GGAUGCGAUCAUACCCGCACUAAAGCACCGGA